Long non-coding RNA from Tigriopus californicus, 2300 nucleotides. RefSeq lists it as uncharacterized. The record is from RefSeq and is a predicted model, not a curated record. Lineage: Eukaryota; Metazoa; Arthropoda; Copepoda; Harpacticoida; Harpacticidae. The transcript has 4 exons.
GAAGUGCGGGACGCGUACCUGGCCAAUAUUGACACAGAUUGAAGUCGGAUAUGGGAAUUGAGAACACCGCAAUGAUGUUUCCUUGGCGUGCCUCCUCGAAGUGUAUUUAACUGCUUCGACCUCAACUUGACAAUCUGUUCCAUCCACUGAGGACAUCCCUGGACAAUUUCCUCUCACUGUUCAAUGUUCGAGAGCAGUGUGGUGAUAAUAAGAGAUAUUUCCCUAGGCCUACUCCCGCCACACAGAUAUUGAGGUCAGGCCAUUUGAAACGAGAUCUCGGAGGAAAUUUCAGAAGGCGACGAUGAUUAUUUUUCGCCUCUUGUCUCUCUCUAUUCAAGAUCAGUUGAGGUCAAGUCCAAGCGAGCCCUUGGAAAGGGGGCAAAGCAUUGUGAAUCAUUAGUUUUGCCUCCCCCGCAGUGCAAAAACUUCAGCUCAUCAAGGCUUUAGCGCGAUAAUGGCAUCUGGAGAGAAAGGAAUUGGAACCUGCUCGCUUAUCUUGAUGCGAUAUUGUUUGGCAACUCAAUCUUCAAAUUUGCACCAUGACCAUGAAGAGGCGGUUUCAAAAGCAGCUGCGUUUGUUUGUAACAAAUCUUCAUCUUUGAUCCUGCCGGACUUGGUUGUUUAACGGAGCUUGAAUUGCAAAGACGACUCGCCCUUUUCUCAAUUCUUCCUUAUCUUCACUUGGGGAUCUCGGCUCAAUUCUGAUUCUUAAUUGAAAUCCACAAAAAGUGAGAUGUCAAAUUUGAGAACUGCCCAUCAUUGCAUUUCACCUCGCUCGAAUUGUGUUUGAAAUUCACCCUUCUGUGGUUAAUCUGGCUGCUCAAAGCGAGCCCUGCCAAGACAAUGGAGGAAUUAUGCAAGAGGGCAAUGGCAACGGAGUCUGCUUUUCACAGCAUCACCUUUGAUCACAUAACCCUGAGAUACUUUGAGAUAAUGUCCCGAUCAUGUCGGAAUUCAUCAUGCAGUCUCCUCCGUAUUCUUGGUUCCGUUUCUUCUUGACUUAGCUUAUGUGGGACCCAUGAUCUUACCCGUUUUCCGGUGAACGAUAAAGGCCAUAUCCUUCCAGCCCAAUGUAACCACAAGUGAAUGGACAGCUUGAACCAAAUGGGUCGCUUGUGGGCCCAUUUGCACCGUGUAUUUCCCAAUGUUGUCCUCCAAUGCGAACGAAGUUCCAGUGGUCAAAUAGGGAAUGUGAAGUGCCGAACAAACCGAGGCCACACUCGUAUCGACCUCCCGAUCUGAGCUCCCGAAAACCGCCAUCACGCUGCGACAAAAGGGUAAAAAUACAUGCCCAUUAUCCAGAUCAAGACGGAUUUCAUUGAACUAAUCGUUAUCACGCAUUUCCCGCCCAUACAAGCUUCAAUGUGCGCGUUAAAAAGGUGCACAAAUGAGCAUUUGUAAUGUUCCAUGGCCAAAUUUAUGAGUGAAAGAAGGUCACCCUGAACUCAAUUCAAACGCCACAUUCCCUGUUGUGCACGUGCUCUCACCUAUACUGGACUUCUGUGCAAAUCCUUUGAUAAGCGUCAUAACGAUCGGCCUUGGCGUACUGAAGGUCUGUGUCCACUCGGGUGGUAUUCAGCAAAUUUGGAUUGUCAUUGAUAGCUCGGACCGUUUGUCGGAAGGACUCGUGCAUCCUCGAGUCUCCGGCCAGAAAGACACUCCCUGACACAAGUAAUCGGAUCUGGAACAUCCUUAAACCCAAAAGUCAACGUGACAUUUCUGGAGAAAUGGCGUUUCUCAACUCAAUUAGAUGCUACGCCUCCUUUGAGGAUUCAUUUCCACCUGGCGAAUUCCUUAAGGUUGGUUAAUGGAAUGACGUUUUCAUUACCCGUGCAUUCGUAUCAUGCGAGACUGGUGGCCUAGAGCGGCCAUUUCCUUUGCCUCCCAACUUGAAGGAAUCAAUAAUGACAAUCCAACGAGUACCUUGAACUUGCCCUCAUUGAAAGGAUGCUCUCAACCCACCCAUUCCUGAGUUUCGGUCCAAUGCAAAGAAUGCUCUUGGCAACAUCAACAUGUGGUCGCCCAUAAGAACAGGGGGGAGGAAAGAGCUGUUUGCAUUUACGUGAUGAUUGCAAAACCAAUGAAUGGAAACAAUGACCUCCAAGACAUAUUGGUGGGUCUUAAUAUAUAAUCUUGAUGAUGGAUGAAUAAGUACUAACAUGUCCAAAAUGAGUUGCAAUUUUAUGUGGAUUUUAUGGAUUUUAAAUCGAAGUAAAAAUCAUUUAUUUUUCCAUUGGAUUAUUAUGAGAAUGAAACGGUGAAACAAGUCUUUAGUUGGGAAAUAAAGUGCCAAUUUUAAA